This 253-nucleotide ribosomal RNA is filed under the name uncultured bacterium. RNAcentral's name for it is "partial 16S ribosomal RNA". It matches the Rfam family "Bacterial small subunit ribosomal RNA", at positions 524 to 776 of the family's 1533-position model. The record is from RNAcentral.
UACGGAGGGUGCGAGCGUUGUCCGGAAUCACUGGGCGUAAAGGGCGCGUAGGCGGCCUGAUAAGUAGGGGGUGAAAUCCUGCGGCUUAACCGCAGGGCUGCCUUCUAAACUGUCAGGCUCGAGCACAGUAGAGGCAGGUGGAAUUCCCGGUGUAGCGGUGGAAUGCGCAGAUAUCAGGAGGAACACCAAUAGCGAAGGCAGCUCGCUGGGACGGUACUGACGCUAAGGCGCGAAAGCGUGGGGAGCGAACAGG